UAUUGCACAGUGGGGGAAACCCUGAUGCAGCGACGCCGCGUGAGUGAAGAAGUAUUUCGGUAUGUAAAGCUCUAUCAGCAGGGAAGAAAGAAAUGACGGUACCUUAGGAAUAAGCCUCGGCUAACUACGUGCCAGCAGCCGCGGUAAUACGUAGGAGGCAAGCGUUAUCCGGAAUGACUGGGCGUAAAGGGUGCGUAGGUGGUUUGACAAGUUGGUAGCGUAACUCCGGGGCUCAACCUCGGCACUACUACCAAAACUGUUGGACUUGAGUGCAGGAGGGGCAAAUGGAAUUCCUAGUGUAGCGGUGGAAUGCGUAGAUAUUAGGAGGAACACCAGUGGCGAAGGCGAUUUGCUGGACUGUAACUGACACUGAGGCACGAAAGCGUGGGGAGCAAAC
This 397-nucleotide ribosomal RNA is filed under the name uncultured bacterium. Its description in RNAcentral is "bacterial SSU rRNA". It matches the Rfam family "Bacterial small subunit ribosomal RNA", at positions 362 to 773 of the family's 1533-position model. The record is from RNAcentral.